CCUUCCGUAGGGGAACCUGCGGAAGGAUCAUUACCGAGUGUAGGGUUCCUAGCGAGCCCAACCUCCCACCCGUGUUUACUGUACCUUAGUUGCUUCGGCGGGCCCGCCAUUCAUGGCCGCCGGGGGCUCUCAGCCCCGGGCCCGCGCCCGCCGGAGACACCACGAACUCUGUCUGAUCUAGUGAAGUCUGAGUUGAUUGUAUCGCAAUCAGUUAAAACUUUCAACAAUGGAUCUCUUGGUUCCGGCAUCGAUGAAGAACGCAGCGAAAUGCGAUAACUAGUGUGAAUUGCAGAAUUCCGUGAAUCAUCGAGUCUUUGAACGCACAUUGCGCCCCCUGGUAUUCCGGGGGGCAUGCCUGUCCGAGCGUCAUUGCUGCCCAUCAAGCACGGCUUGUGUGUUGGGUCGUCGUCCCCUCUCCGGGGGGGACGGGCCCCAAAGGCAGCGGCGGCACCGCGUCCGAUCCUCGAGCGUAUGGGGCUUUGUCACCCGCUCUGUAGGCCCGGCCGGCGCUUGCCGAACGCAAAUCAAUCUUUUUCCAGGUUGACCUCGGAUCAGGUAGGGAUACCCGCUGAACUUAAGCAUAUCAAUAAGCGGAGGA
Molecule: unclassified non-coding RNA, 598 nt
Filed under: Aspergillus flavus
Lineage: Eukaryota; Fungi; Ascomycota; Eurotiomycetes; Eurotiales; Aspergillaceae
Description: partial contains ITS1, 5.8S rRNA and ITS2
Rfam family: 5.8S ribosomal RNA (bases 216-369)
Source: RNAcentral